RNAcentral lists this ribosomal RNA (864 nucleotides) under uncultured archaeon. RNAcentral's name for it is "SSU rRNA". It matches the Rfam family "Archaeal small subunit ribosomal RNA", at positions 474 to 1337 of the family's 1478-position model. The record is from RNAcentral.
AACCAGCACCUCAAGUGGUCAGGAUGAUUAUUGGGCCUAAAGCAUCCGUAGCCGGCUUUGUAAGUUUUCGGUUAAAUCCAUGCGCUCAACGUAUGGGCUGCCGGGAAUACUGCAAAGCUAGGGAGUGGGAGAGGUAGACGGUACUCGGUAGGAAGGGGUAAAAUCCUUUGAUCUAUUGAUGACCACCUGUGGCGAAGGCGGUCUACCAGAACACGUCCGACGGUGAGGGAUGAAAGCUGGGGGAGCAAACCGGAUUAGAUACCCGGGUAGUCCCAGCUGUAAACUAUGCAAACUCAGUGAUGCAUUGGCUUGAUGCCAAUGCAGUGCUGCAGGGAAGCCGUUAAGUUUGCCGCCUGGGAAGUACGUACGCAAGUAUGAAACUUAAAGGAAUUGGCGGGGGAGCACCACAAGGGGUGAAGCCUGCGGUUCAAUUGGAGUCAACGCCAGAAAUCUUACCCGGAGAGACAGCAGAAUGAAGGUCAAGCUGAAGACUUUACCAGACAAGCUGAGAGGUGGUGCAUGGCCGUCGCCAGCUCGUGCCGUGAGAUGUCCUGUUAAGUCAGGUAACGAGCGAGAUCCCUGCCUCUAGUUGCCACCACUACUCUCAGGAGUAGUGGGGCGAAUUAGCGGGACCGCCGUAGUUAAUACGGAGGAAGGAAGGGGCUACGGCAGGUCAGUAUGCCCCGAAACUCUGGGGCCACACGCGGGCUGCAAUGGUAACGACAAUGUGUUCCGAAUCCGAAAGGAGGAGGUAAUCCUCAAACGUUACCACAGUUAUGACUGAGGGCUGCAACUCGCCCUCACGAAUAUGGAAUCCCUAGUAACUGCGUGUCACUAUCGCGCGGUGAAUACGUCCCUGCUCCU